GGAAGCACAAGUGGAUUGUAUUGCACGUGAAGUUAACGACAACCCCAGAACAUAUUCCGACUUUCUUACUUGUCUCAAAAACGCAAGUAACACACUCGAUCGAAGGCAUAUUCGGGAAGCAUAUUAUUGCAAAUACCUUCUGUCUGACCAAGCAUGGCUGGAAUGGAUAAACGAUGAACUGGACACACCACAACCAGAUCUUGACUAUCUCCUUCCUUUGUUGAACACGGCAGCCCGUUCAUUAAAUAGUCUAGAAAUCUGGAAUAUUUACGUUGAUUUUAUACUGGCAACUAAACUGCCCCACGACGAAGUAAAACGUGUUAUCGACAGUGCACUACGCAGCUGCGGACAUCAUGUGGUGGGGUCACACAGUUUGU
Long non-coding RNA from Octopus sinensis (East Asian common octopus), 377 nucleotides. RefSeq lists it as uncharacterized. The record is from RefSeq and is a predicted model, not a curated record. NCBI's taxonomy places the organism in Eukaryota, Metazoa, Mollusca, Cephalopoda, Octopoda, Octopodidae. The transcript has 3 exons.